This is a long non-coding RNA of Hydra vulgaris (swiftwater hydra), 432 nucleotides long. RefSeq lists it as uncharacterized. Lineage: Eukaryota; Metazoa; Cnidaria; Hydrozoa; Anthoathecata; Hydridae. The record is from RefSeq and is a predicted model, not a curated record.
AUAAUAAAAAAAGAUCAUAGCGUUGAAAAUAUCAUGACGCGCUAACAAACAAAUUAAUUGCUUUAUGAUCAAGUUUCUAUGGGUUUCGUUUGCUGAAAAAAAAAGGUUAAAAUAUAGUCGGUUUUUAGCUAUUUCGGCGAAUAUUUUGUUGUCAUUAUAAAGACAUUACAGUGCGAUAUAGAAGCAAGAGAUUGGAAUAAAACUACGAGGUAGAGAUUCGUGAGAAUUUUGUUUCUUUGGCAAUGAAAAGUCUGAUUGUUUUCUUAGACAAUCUGGACUUUACGUAAUCCAAACGCCAACAAGAACGUAAAAGGUUUUUUAAGUCGUCGUAGUCGUAGCGCAUUUUAGUAGAAUAUCAUUAUGAAAAUUAUAAUGAAAACGUCACGGAUUGAAAUUUUUUUGUAUACUCAUCUGAAUGAUUUUUACUUUUAA